GGACCCGCACAAGCGGUGGAUGAUGUGGAUUAAUUCGAAGAUACGCGCAGAACCUUACCAACACUUGACAUGUUCGUCGCGACUCUAAGAGAUUAGAGUUUUCGGUUCGGCCGGACGAAACACAGGUGCUGCAUGGCUGUCGUCAGCUCGUGUCGUGAGAUGUUGGGUUAAGUCCCGCAACGAGCGCAACCCUCACUUUUAGUUGCCAUCAUUAAGUUGGGCACUCUGAAAGAACUGCCAGUGAUAAGCUGGAGGAAGGUGGGGAUGACGUCAAGUCCUCAUGGCCCUUACGUGUUGGGCUACACACGUGCUACAAUGGUAUCUACAACAGGAAGCAAAACAGCGAUGUUAAGCAAAUCCCAUAAACCGUGGCUCAGUUCAGAUCGUAGGCUGCAACUCGCCUACGUGAAGGCGGAAUCGCUAGUAAUCGC
Molecule: ribosomal RNA, 431 nt
Filed under: uncultured bacterium
Lineage: Bacteria
Description: bacterial SSU rRNA
Rfam family: Bacterial small subunit ribosomal RNA
Source: RNAcentral